GACGAACGCUGGCGGCGUGCUUAACACAUGCAAGUCGAACGGAAAGGCCCUGCUUUUGUGGGGUGCUCGAGUGGCGAACGGGUGAGUAACACGUGAGUAACCUGCCCUUGACUUUGGGAUAACUUCAGGAAACUGGGGCUAAUACCGGAUAGGAGCUCCUGCUGCAUGGUGGGGGUUGGAAAGUUUCGGCGGUUGGGGAUGGACUCGCGGCUUAUCAGCUUGUUGGUGGGGUAGUGGCUUACCAAGGCUUUGACGGGUAGCCGGCCUGAGAGGGUGACCGGCCACAUUGGGACUGAGAUACGGCCCAGACUCCUACGGGAGGCAGCAGUGGGGAAUAUUGCACAAUGGGCGGAAGCCGGAUGCAGCAACGCCGCGUGCGGGAUGACGGCCUUCGGGUUGUAAACCGCUUUCGCCUGUGACGAAGCGUGAGUGACGGUAAUGGGUAAAGAAACACCGGCUAACUACGU
This 467-nucleotide ribosomal RNA is filed under the name uncultured bacterium. Its description in RNAcentral is "partial 16S ribosomal RNA". It matches the Rfam family "Bacterial small subunit ribosomal RNA", at positions 28 to 506 of the family's 1533-position model. The record is from RNAcentral.